UGGGGAAUAUUGCACAAUGGGCGCAAGCCUGAUGCAGCCAUGCCGCGUGUAUGAAGAAGGCCUUCGGGUUGUAAAGUACUUUCAGUCGGGAGGAAGGUGGUAAGGUUAAUAACCUUGGCAAUUGACGUUACCGACAGAAGAAGCACCGGCUAACUCCGUGCCAGCAGCCGCGGUAAUACGGAGGGUGCAAGCGUUAAUCGGAAUUACUGGGCGUAAAGCGCACGCAGGCGGUUGAUUGAGUCAGAUGUGAAAUCCCCGGGCUUAACCCGGGAAUUGCAUCUGAUACUGGUCAGCUAGAGUCUUGUAGAGGGGGGUAGAAUUCCAUGUGUAGCGGUGAAAUGCGUAGAGAUGUGGAGGAAUACCGGUGGCGAAGGCGGCCCCCUGGACAAAGACUGACGCUCAGGUGCGAAAGCGUGGGAAGCAAACAGG
RNAcentral lists this ribosomal RNA (429 nucleotides) under Chloroflexota bacterium. Its description in RNAcentral is "Chloroflexi bacterium partial 16S ribosomal RNA". It matches the Rfam family "Bacterial small subunit ribosomal RNA", at positions 355 to 776 of the family's 1533-position model. The record is from RNAcentral. Lineage: Bacteria; Bacillati; Chloroflexota.